GCUUCUGCUUGUGUUGAUACUUUUACCUCCACCAGAGGGAGACAUCAUCAAGUAGUUCAUACUCCACAUCAACACUGAGUUCAUCCAUUGGCUCAUUCUGAACUGCUGCUGAGAAGAGAAGUACUGUCACACUGACAGACUGACAAACUUCAGCUAGUUCCUCCUGUUGAUUGAAUCCUUGUUGUAGAGAUGGAGCGUUGGCUGUGGAUCAUUCUGGCUGCUCUUUUCUUUGGGUGUAAAGGAGAAGACACAGUGACCCAGCCAGCAGAGGAUGUUGUUGCUUCUGAAGGAGAUCCAGUCACACUUGGCUGUAUGUUUGAGACAACUAGAACGAAUCCCUAUUUGUUCUGGUACAAACAAGAAGUUGGUGAUUUCCCAAAGUACAUGCUGAAACUUUAUGCAGAUACAACAGAAUUUGCUCCUGGGACCGACAAAGACAGAUUUAAUGCUGCAAUCAAGGAGAAAUCAGUUCCUCUGAAGAUCCAGAAGCUUCAGCUGACUGACUCUGCUGUGUACUACUGUGCUCUGAGGCCCACAGUGACAGGAAACACCAACACUCUGUACAAAAACCUUUGGAGCAAACACAACACAAUACUCCACAACAUCCACUAGAGGGAGACAUCAUCAAGCAGGUGUUGCUCUUCCUCUGUGUUCAACCAUCCUGACAAUAAAAAGGCUGCUGUGAAGAGAACAGUGGUUCUCAAAGUGGGGUCCUGGGACCCCUGGGGGUCCUUGAACCAUAGC
Notolabrus celidotus (New Zealand spotty) is the source of this 744-nucleotide non-coding RNA. The record is from the annotation of a RefSeq genome assembly. NCBI's taxonomy places the organism in Eukaryota, Metazoa, Chordata, Actinopteri, Labriformes, Labridae.